Long non-coding RNA from Amblyraja radiata (thorny skate), 375 nucleotides. RefSeq lists it as uncharacterized. NCBI's taxonomy places the organism in Eukaryota, Metazoa, Chordata, Chondrichthyes, Rajiformes, Rajidae. The transcript is spliced from 3 exons. The record is from RefSeq and is a predicted model, not a curated record.
UCGUACCCUGCACUACAGUUUGGUGAAGUGAAAGUGCGUAGUCACAAAAUGUGUUCGUGAUGAAGCCAAACCACUGUCAGUGGUGGAUAAAGUCUUACCGAUUGAAAAGUUUCAUUGCCCUGUUUCGUUCAACACGACACUCAAAGAAAUACCUGAUGACUUCAAGCGAGUCUCCGUCACCCUGGAUGUGGAAACAGCGCAUCCGCGGCUCGAGGUGUCUGAGGAUCGGAAGAGUGUGAGACGGACCGGGACCGUGAGGAGUCUCCCUGACACCGGGAAGAGGUUUACAGGCCGGGCGUGUGUGCUGGGAUCGGAGGGAUUCACAUCGGGGAGACAUUACUGGGAGGUGGAGGUGGCGGGGAGUCGGUACUGGAG